CACAAAAUGUCGACCUCCGAAAAAGAAACAAAAAAAACAGAAACAUGGCAAUAGCGAAGAAAUUUCCCUUAUUUCCUGUGGUGCCCCUGAAGAACAAUCAGUUGAUCGUUGUCCUUUGCGACAAUCUUUUUCAUCUAUAAUGACGACCGGUCUUGAAGGAGACAAUGCUUUGAAUUCACAAAAUGAUCGACCUCCGAAAAAGAAACAAAAAAAACAGAAACAUGGCAAUAGCGAAGAAAUUUCCUUUAUUUCCUGUGGUGCCCCUGAAGAACAAUCAGUUGAUCGUUGUCCUUUGCGACAAUCUUUUUCAUCUAUAACGACGACGGGUCUUGAAGGAGACAAUGCUUUGAAUUCACAAAAUGAUCGACCUCCGAAAAAGAAACAAAAAAACAGAAACAUGGCAAUAGCGAAGAAAUUUCCUUUAUUUCCUGUGGUGCCCCUGAAGAACAAUCAGUUGAUCGUUGUCCUUUGCGACAAUCUUUUUCAUCUAUAACGUAAGAAUAUUUUUUUUCAUCUCCUACAAUUCUACCUUUUUGAUACAAAUCAGUAUUAUACAAUCCUAAGUUACAUGGCUCCA
RNAcentral lists this long non-coding RNA (577 nucleotides) under Bemisia tabaci. RNAcentral's name for it is "lncRNA ENSSSA3NGG014363". The record is from RNAcentral. Lineage: Eukaryota; Metazoa; Arthropoda; Insecta; Hemiptera; Aleyrodidae.